CAGAGUAGGAGCAGUGCGUUAAGUGUCCGGCGGAUGGGAUGUCGCCCCGGAACGAAGGCUUGCCGCGAUGCUGCUCCGCGUCCGCUGC
Molecule: non-coding RNA, 88 nt
Filed under: bovine gut metagenome
Description: THF riboswitch
Rfam family: THF (Tetrahydrofolate) riboswitch aptamer
About the family: THF riboswitch presents a pseudoknot that joins P1-P2 and the loop of P3 and two THF binding.
Source: RNAcentral